CGAAAUUUGAAUUAGAAAUUAGAGAAUUCUAUUAAAUUCUAUUCUUAUUCUAUUUAAUUCUUAUUAAAUCCAUUUAUUUAAUAUUUAAUUUAAUUAAAUAAAUCACAAUACCAUUUAAAUUAUUAAAUUCAAUUUUCUAGUCAAUUUGAAUAUUUAAAUAGUAAAAAAUAUUAAUUUAAUUGGAAUUGUUAAUUGUGUAAUGAUUUGGUUUUGUUGGACCCAUGGGUCAAAUAAAACGGAGCAUUUCUCUCUUUGAGAAAAAUCAAUCAAAGAAUUUCAUUAUAUACUUUCUCAAAUCGUUCUAUUUCGUUUGAUAUUUCGUAAGGAUAAGUAAUACACAGAUAUAGCAAAAUAAAAUAUAUAAUAUAUUUUAUUUUCUACUUCUAUUUCUAUUAAAACUAAAACUAAUAAAAACCCCUCAAAUGACUAACUAUUGAUACUGGAGUAUCCCGUAGUAAUGAAUGUGCACGUGAUUUGGGAUAGAGUAAUAUUGUUUGUUCUAUCUAUGUAAGACAAAAAAAAACUCCACCUCAGAACUUCUAAUUGAGAUAUGAAUACACUACAC
RNAcentral lists this long non-coding RNA (565 nucleotides) under Gossypium raimondii (Peruvian cotton). Its description in RNAcentral is "long non-coding RNA (GRAI_LNC008532)". Lineage: Eukaryota; Viridiplantae; Streptophyta; Magnoliopsida; Malvales; Malvaceae. The record is from RNAcentral.